GGAGAGGUGCUAGAGUGGCCGAUUAGGCGCGCUUGGAAAGCGCGUGUUCCAGUUAAAUGGAACCGCGGGUUCGAAUCCCGCCCUCUCCGCCA
Molecule: transfer RNA, 92 nt
Filed under: Dehalococcoidia bacterium
Lineage: Bacteria; Bacillati; Chloroflexota; Dehalococcoidia
Also listed under: 1 other name
Description: tRNA-Ser
Rfam family: tRNA
About the family: Transfer RNA (tRNA) molecules are approximately 80 nucleotides in length. Their secondary structure includes four short double-helical elements and three loops (D, anti-codon, and T loops).
Source: RNAcentral